Molecule: long non-coding RNA, 4595 nt
Filed under: Brassica rapa (field mustard)
Lineage: Eukaryota; Viridiplantae; Streptophyta; Magnoliopsida; Brassicales; Brassicaceae
Description: long non-coding RNA (BRAP_LNC004719)
Source: RNAcentral
CCCAGUUCUUGUAGAACCUUCUCCUGACCUCCUCGCUCAAGUGCUGUGCCCAGACGGUGUUGAGAGACCUCAGACCACGGGGGGUUUUGACGUAGGCAACAACACCGACGACCACCAUGGCGGGUGUCUCGAUGAUGGUAACAGCCUCGCAGGUCUCCUUCUUGUGAAGCUCUAUACAAGAUUACACAAGCAAACAAAAUAGUAUAAAUAAUGAAAUUUGAUUAAUAAUUUUUUUUUAAAAAAGAAUGAAUUAAAUGAGAGUGAAACUUACUGGAUCCGGGCUUCUCGACAUCUCUAACAAUGUGGGUUAUACCGGCCUUGUAUCCCAUGAAGGCUGUGAACUUGCAAGGCUUGCUUUGGUCAUCCUUAGGGAACGCCUUCACUGUUUUUUUUAAGUACAACAACAUUAAUUUGUAAAAGAAAAGACAACAAACUCCAAAGUAACUUACAUCCCAAUCAUAGUACUAAAAGUCGGAUUAAUUUUUUUAAUUUUCCAGAUAAUCACAAGUAGGGUUUCAAUGAAACGCAAAAAAUAAAUUUAAAUAUUUGAGGCGACUUUUUCAACGGUACGGUAAAUAUUUUAAAUAUUUUUUUCAUUCAACGCUUGCAAAUUAUAUUGUUGUCACAUUUUUAUGUUAUCUGUCACCACAGACGUAAUCGUUAAACACUAGAAUCAUGGACGUUUAUAACUUUUUUUCCCGGAAUGCGCACGUUUGAUUUGAGAAUUGGGAAUGUCGAGUGGCUUAUCCAGGUACGUACAAACACAGCCACCAUACAAACAUGCGAGAGGACCCGGACACGGUAGCUUCACGUUUUCGCACUUUGUCAGUUUUGUUCAUAUAGAUUAUCAAAAAUUAAAAAGGUAUGAUUUGCUUUCUGUUGUUGUCGUACCUUCAUAUAGAUUAUCAAAAAUAAAUAAAAAGGUAGUGAUUAUUUCUGAUAUAAAAUAAAACUAAAACUUCAACCAGAACUUGAAUUGUUUUCUUGGUUAAUGAAAAAACUGGACCCUCCUAGUUAACAUAAUUCAUUUGACAGAAAGAAACAUAUUGUAAUCUAAGGUUCAUAUUAUUUCAUACUAAAUGAAGAUAGCAUUUAUUUAAAAUGAUACAAAAUUGUACUCGUUAAUAUAUAUAAAACCCCAAUUGAAUACAUGAAAAUCACAUACAUGUUGUAGUCAUCAGAGAUAGUCAGAUAGAUGUAUAUAUAUUAUAUUUUAAUACAUUUUGAAAAUCAUAUAUUUGUAUACAAGCGAAGUACUUACAGAAGGCAUAUAGAAGGAACAUGAACAAGAAGAAGACUGGUUUUGCUGAAUUCAUCUCUAUACUUAAAUUACGAUAUACUAUUAUUGUUUCUGAAAUAUAAGCGAAAAUUUUCUCUGGUUAUUUAUGGCUUGUGAGUAUGAGGGUAACAUGAAUUAUAUAUUGCUUUUAUUUAGGGAAACAAACUUUUUGACACCAAUUUAUUAUUUUAUUCCAAACUUAACUUUUAUUAUUCUUAAUUACUAUUUUCACACAUAUUUGUUUCCUUUCAAGAAAUUUUUUCAUAAUUAUAAUAUACUUUACUUGAUUUUCCUAGAUAUUUUUUUACUUUCCACAGAUUUACUUGAAAAACUUAAUUAGUAUACAAAUUAAGAAGUUUUAAUUUGAUUUAAAUUACUUGUGGCCAAUUUUUUAAGUUGUAUACUAAUUAAGUUUUAUACAACUGAAUUAGUAACAAAUUUGCUUUAGUUUGUUUUACGCAUAUUAAGAAAAUGUCUUCACUUUUUUAUUAUAAAUGUAUUGUUUUCUCUAUUUAGUGGUUUACAAUAGUUUGGACCAAUUGUCUUUUAAUAUGUGAUUUUAUUUUUGAAUUUUUAAGUUAUUAACCAAUAAAAAUUGCAUAGGAACACAUAAGACAUAUAUCUUUUUGAAAACAAGUUUAGAGAGAAAAAAAAAACAUUUAUCUUGCUGAAACAUGAGGAGUAUUGAAUAAAAUCCCAAUAAAAUAUAUUAUAUAUCAAAGUAAUACACCUUGUCUUAUGCUCAAUAAUAGACCUACAAUAUUUAGACAUUAAUUAUUAAAAUGAGUUAGCAUAUAUCAUACAACAUAUUAUACCAUGUCAUCUUACAUUAUAUAAUUCUAAAUAUUUACAAAAUCAAUUUGAGUAAAACACUUUUGCAAACCAUAUGUUCAAAACAAAAUUAUAUAUAUUAUGUAAAUAACUUUUAUAAGAAGUAUUUAUAAUAAAAAAUGUAUCUUAUUUAAAUCUAACCAACUCAAUAAAUGUAAUUCUUAUAAAUGUGUACAAAAUAUAACGAGAGAGUAAGCAUGGGAAUUCGGAUCUUUGAUGGGGUACAGAUCGAUUUUUUUCGGGUUUUAGAGAAAUUUUUGGUUUGUGUUCGGUUCAGUUCAUUUCGGAUCCGGGUGGGUUCUAGUCCAUUAUAUAAAUACUUGUAACGUACCUGCAAAUUUUAGUUAUGUAACGGGCUGGAUUGGUUCGGAUAUUCAAAAUACCUGAAAACACAAAAAUAUUCAAAACACAAAGAAAUAUCAAAAAAAAUCAAAUACUCAAAAAUAUCCAAAAUUUUAUAAGAAAUCUAAUCCGAGUAACCAAAAAAACACCCAAAUUUUAUCUGAAUACCUAAGAUAUAUUUUAAAAUUUUUGAAGUUCUAUCUAAAACCAAAACUAUAACCGAAAACUCAAACCAAAAACUUAAAAAGUAGAUAUAAUGCCAAAAAAACAUAUCUGAAAUACACAUAUAUACCUAAUAUAUAAAAAAAUAUUUGGGUCCUUUAUGUACCGGAUCCUAGACUCGAACAGAGACCCAUGGGUCAAAAAAAUAUAAAAUAGGUAUAUUCCCUAAGCAAACAUGUAUUUUAGGUUUGUUUUUUUUUAAACGUUUACUAGAUUUUGAUCAGAUUUUCGGAAACGUGGAUUUUUUUGAUUAAAUAUUUAAUUCAGCAUAUUUUUAUAGGACAUAUAUUGUAUUUUAACAUGUAUUAAAAAUAUAUCAAAUUUUGAUUAUAAAUACACCAUUUUUAUUAAUUAGUUUAUUUUCACAAUUUUAUACUAAUAAAAAAUCAAAAAACACAAAUAAUAUUUAUAGAAGUUAAUGAAACACCAUUAUUAACUAAUAAACAUAUAUAAAAUGUAAAAAUGUACUUUCCAAAUAGUAUUUUUAAAUAAAUUUGAUUUUCAUAAAUAUUUAUUCAGGCUAGCUCAGUAUUUCUUAGUUUUAUGAUCAAGCCAGGCUUUCAUAAGUAGACUGGCUCACACAUAUAUUAUCAAUUUGCAUAAACAAAGUUGUCAUCUCAACUUAACCUACAGGUUAUCAAAAAUUAAAACUUAUAAAAUGAUAAGAACAGAUGAAGAAAAGCAUAUGACGUUCAAACUCUCCAAAUAAAUAAAACACAAAAGUGCGGCGAAUAGUUCUAAAGAGUAUUCUGACGAAGAGAAAAGAGGUUAAGAAAACUGGAACAAGACAAUCAAAAUGUUUAAGCUUUGGCAGAGGCACGGCCGUAGAACUUGUUCUUUUCCUGGGUAGUCUGGAAUUUGCCAUGUCCCAUCUUUGAGGAAGUGUCGAUAAACUUGAGGUUGAUCUGCUCCAUGGCAAGACGGGAAGUCUGAGUGAGUAGUGACUGUCUAAGAGUCACAACCCUCUUCUUUGGACCCAUGCAGCAUCCCUUGAUCAUCAAGUAGUCAUCCUUCACCACACCAUAGUGUGCGAAUCCUCCCAUCGGAGUCACAUCCUUCUCGGUCCUAUCAUAGCCACAACAAUCAUCAGAUCAGUUACAUAAAACCAAAAUAGCAGAGAGUAAGUGAAACAGUAGAUAGAGAAAUUUCAACUGACCUGUCGUAUUCAGUCAUGGCAGUGUGCGUCUCCUGACCAACCUUGCCCAACCUGUAAAUCUUCUUGUUAAGUUCCGUACGGUGAUGGUAACCGUUCUGACCAGCUCUAGCCACAGUGUAGGAGACUCUAGCUGGAUGCCAUGCACCGAUACAAGCAACCUUACGCAGACCCCUGUGAGUCUUACGUGGAAGCCUAGUCACACCCCAACGAGUAACAACACCUUCGUAACCUUUACCCUUGGUCACUCCAAUCACAUCAAUCAUCUCAUCCUUCUGGAAAACAGCGUCAAUGGGAAUCUGCUUCUCAAAGAAGCUGUAGGCAAAGUCGACCUUCUGAGCAAUGGUACCACCGUUGAUCUGGAUCUCCAUCAUGUGAGCCUUCUUCUGCUUCAACCCCUUCAUCUUCCUGAUCUGAGUGUGGGCCAAGACACGGAUGACAGUUCCGUACUUCUUCAUCUUCUCGAGCUGAGACUGGAUGCUCUUCUUGCCUUCCUCGGUUUCGUACUGCUUGGCGUAGCCGGUGAAGGCCUUCUUCUUGGACUUGGCCCAGUUCUUGUAGAACCUUCUCCUGACCUCCUCGCUCAAGUGCUGUGCCCAGACGGUGUUGAGAGACCUCAGGCCACGGGGGGUUUUGACGUAGGCAACAACACCAACGACCACCAUUGCAGGUGUCUCGAUGAUGGUAACAGCCUCGCAGGUCUCCUUCUUGUGAAGCUCUAUACAAGAUUACACAAGCAAACAAAAUAAUAUAAAUAUUGAAAUUUGA